RNAcentral lists this long non-coding RNA (1188 nucleotides) under Callithrix jacchus (white-tufted-ear marmoset). Its description in RNAcentral is "lncRNA (ENSCJAG00000069638.1)". The record is from RNAcentral. Lineage: Eukaryota; Metazoa; Chordata; Mammalia; Primates; Cebidae.
UAGUUCUAGUUACCUUGUCUUUCAAAAGGUUAGCCAGAUUCUGGUAGAUAGCGAGUGGAUAGAAAUAAUAAGAAAAUGCCAUCACCAGUGGUUUGUUGAAAAUUUAUCGUAGCAGGAUACAAACAUGCAAGGGUCUUACUUCUUUUCAGCCAGUGCUUUUGACCUCAUUCUGUUGAAUCUGCUUUCAAGCCAAUUCCAGUAGUUAAGUCCAGGUCAGUCUAAUAAAAACUCUAAUCAUAUCUGCCCUGUCUCCUAACUCAGGGGUUAUCAAUGCCCAGAGGGGGCAUGAGGGGGGAGAGAGAGGGAACUUGCUGUUAGAUUCCAUUUUCCUUUUUUUUCCCUUCCUUUGGUGUGUUGGGCUAGGGAAGAGGGAGAAGGGAAGAGAAGGGGAAGAUGGAAAUGGAUGUUUGGACACACACGUAAGCUCCUUAGGUAGCCCUGUGGAAGACUCCUGAUUCAUACUUCCUUUCAUGGAAUACCUCUCUCCAGCUUUAGCUCUUCUAAACUCUUCUUUUGGACUCCAGCUUCUUCACCAUCAGAACAUCACAUGGUCACAAGCUCCUGCUGCUUUCUGAAGCAACAGACAGCCCUCCUGAUUAGGGAGCUAGUGCCAUGGCUCAAGCCCUGCUACCUACCACACCAUUCUCUUGACCUGUGAGAAACUCACACAUCCCAUGUCACUACCUGGCUUUACUUGUGUCCCAUCACUUCCUUUCCAUCUGUGUUCAAUUCUCUACUCAGAUAGGGUCUGGGGGCAGAGUGGCACAUCACACUGAGGAAUGAGAUGCCACGUCUCACUUUCAUGCAGACAUCUUCAAUUCCUACAAGGAUCCUUUAGAGGACCCUCUGAUGGACUUUGUGGGUGAACAUUCACCUUCCUACUUCCUUCACUGAGGUGGAGCUUCGGUGCCCCAACCAGACUCAGUAUCAGUCACAAGGGAUUCUAGGAUCUUCAUUUCCUGCCUCCCUUUCCCCCUCUUUAGUCUCCUGUUUAAAAUAUGGGAGAGUGUUCUGAGGGAUGUUUGUGAGCAACAGCUACCUCUUACUAAAUCUUGGAGGGGCCAUCUGUUUUCCAAGUUCUUAGUUUCUUUGCAUUGGAUUAGAACAUGUUCUUUUAGCUCUGAGAAGUUUCUUAUUACCCACCUUCUGAAGGCUGUUUCUGUCAAUUCACGACUCAUUCUCCAUCCA